ACAGAGAACUCGGAACAGGACAGAAGUAGAGUGCCCUCUAGGUGUAGAGGGUGUGACACAUAUCUUUUGUUUUCUCCCUCGAAAUCCAGCCUCCCUGUAAUGAAUUAUAAGCAAAGGGGCCUUCAUUCAGGGAGCCCAGAACACUAAAGAUCAUGGGCUCAAAUGGGAAUAUGCCAGGGCACCUGGCUGAGUGGCUCAGCCAGUAAAGACACUCUCUCUCUCAGAACAGGCUGGCAGUCCUGAGCACACUGUGAUUGGUAUCCUCCCAGUAGUGACACGCAGCUGGCAGCCAGUGUCGCGUGAGUAGGCUAGGGAUUAGCUGGUCAGGACUUCCUUGGGAUUCCAGCAACCAGUGAUUCAUGCUGCUUCCCUGCAGACCUGCAGCAACAUGAGUGAAGGAUUCACUGCUUCUCUAACCAGCACACUAUCCCUCCCACGGGACACCAUGGAGCCCGCACCACUGAUGGGACAGAGGAGCAUGCCGCACUCCCUCUUUCUCUCCGGGCGGAAUGGGAAUUGCGAGAUGGUUUGGAAGCAAACAAGUUGAGCCCCCACGUCGGUUGGGUGCAGUAUGAAAAAUGCCAAGAAAAAAAUGGGUUGUGCAGUGAAGUGCUUGGGACUGAGCCCUGCCUGGGUGGCUGGAGUUUAACACUGUACAAUGCCUGUGGCCCAGAGCAACAAAAUGCUCCUCACUUCCCCGUCUCACUCUAGUGAUGCUCCUGGGGAUUACUCGGGUUAUUGCGCGUAAUAGAAGCGCUCCUGUUUUUUUUGCUCUUUUUCCCCAGGCAGGAUCAUCAGCAUUCUUCGGGCGCAGGCUCACAAGCAGUGGGGUGGGGGCAGGGGAGCCGGCUGCUGAAUGCUAAUCAAGGCCAAGUCACGUUUCCCACGCUGAGGGCUCCUCCAUGAAAAUCGAUGAUUAAAAGCCCGAGUCCUUGUCCUGGCGCCCCCGCCUGAAUAAAACAUUGCCUGUUUGUCCUGUGGUGUCACUGGCACACUGACUGCUGGAUAGAUGGGGCAGAAACAGCGAGACGAAAUUGCAGGAAGGAGGAGAAAGAAAAAUUGUGCAUCUUGACUCUGCUGCAGGCUAUGAAAGUCCACCCUGGCUGUAAAAUCACUGAAGAAUGACUUGACUUGCACCAUCAAAAACACCAUGAGCGCUGUAACAUG
Molecule: non-coding RNA, 1167 nt
Organism: Lepisosteus oculatus (spotted gar)
Lineage: Eukaryota; Metazoa; Chordata; Actinopteri; Semionotiformes; Lepisosteidae
Source: RefSeq, a predicted model, not a curated record